Molecule: ribosomal RNA, 116 nt
Filed under: Zingiber officinale
Lineage: Eukaryota; Viridiplantae; Streptophyta; Magnoliopsida; Zingiberales; Zingiberaceae
Source: RNAcentral
GCGAUCAUACCAGCACUAAUGCACCGGAUCCCAUCAGAACUCCAAAGUUAAGCGUGCUUGACUUAGAGAAAUCUGAGGAUGGGUGACCUCCUGGGAAGUUUUCCAGGGUGCGUGCG